GUGGGUAUGGCCUAGUUGGUUAGGGCGCAAGUUUGUGGCACUUGAGGUCGUGGGUUCGAACCCCACUAUCCACCCCA
RNAcentral lists this transfer RNA (77 nucleotides) under Peptoniphilus equinus. RNAcentral describes it as "Peptoniphilus sp. CBA3646 tRNA-His". It matches the Rfam family "tRNA". Rfam says of the family: Transfer RNA (tRNA) molecules are approximately 80 nucleotides in length. Their secondary structure includes four short double-helical elements and three loops (D, anti-codon, and T loops). Lineage: Bacteria; Bacillati; Bacillota; Tissierellia; Tissierellales; Peptoniphilaceae. The record is from RNAcentral.